This 253-nucleotide ribosomal RNA is filed under the name uncultured bacterium. Its description in RNAcentral is "partial 16S ribosomal RNA". It matches the Rfam family "Bacterial small subunit ribosomal RNA", at positions 524 to 776 of the family's 1533-position model. The record is from RNAcentral.
GACGUAGGAGGCGAGCGUUGUCCGGAGUUACUGGGCGUAAAGGGUAGGUAGGUGGUCUCAUUUGUCUGGGGUGAAAGCCUUGAGCUUAACUCAAGAAGUGCCCCGGAAACGGUGAGACUGGAGUCCCGGAGAGGGUCGUGGAAUUCCCGGUGUAGCGGUGAAAUGCAUUGAGAUCGGAAAGAACACCAACGGCGAAAGCACUCUGCUGGGCCGACACUGACACUGAGAGACGAAAGCUAGGGGAGCAAAUGGG